AUACGUAGGGGGCGAGCGUUGUCCGGAAUUAUUGGGCGUAAAGCGCGCGCAGGCGGUCCCUUAAGUCUGAUGUGAAAGCCCACGGCUCAACCGUGGAGGGUCAUUGGAAACUGGGGGACUUGAGUGCAGAAGAGGAGAGCGGAAUUCCACGUGUAGCGGUGAAAUGCGUAGAGAUGUGGAGGAACACCAGUGGCGAAGGCGGCUCUCUGGUCUGUAACUGACGCUGAGGCGCGAAAGCGUGGGGAGCAAACAGGAUUAGAUACCCUGGUAGUCCACGCCGUAAACGAUGAGUGCUGAGUGUUAGAGGGGUCAAACCCUUUAGUGCUGUAGCUAACGCGUUAAGCACUCCGCCUGGGGAGUACGGCCGCAAGGCUGAA
This 377-nucleotide ribosomal RNA is filed under the name uncultured bacterium. RNAcentral describes it as "bacterial SSU rRNA". It matches the Rfam family "Bacterial small subunit ribosomal RNA", at positions 523 to 898 of the family's 1533-position model. The record is from RNAcentral.